GACGGAGGAUGCAAGCGUUAUCCGGAAUUAUUGGGCGUAAAGCGUCCGUAGGCGGUUUCAAAAGUCUGUUGUUAAAGCCCACAGCUCAACUGUGGAUCGGCAAUGGGAACUGUGAGACUAGAGAGUGGUGGGGGUAGAGGGAAUUCCUAGUGUAGCGGUGAAAUGCGUAGAUAUUAGGAAGAACACCAGUGGCGAAGGCGCUCUACUGGGCCAUUACUGACACUGAGGCACGAAGGCCAGGGGAGCAAACGGG
RNAcentral lists this ribosomal RNA (253 nucleotides) under uncultured bacterium. RNAcentral describes it as "partial 16S ribosomal RNA". It matches the Rfam family "Bacterial small subunit ribosomal RNA", at positions 524 to 776 of the family's 1533-position model. The record is from RNAcentral.